Molecule: ribosomal RNA, 235 nt
Filed under: uncultured bacterium
Lineage: Bacteria
Description: partial 16S ribosomal RNA
Rfam family: Bacterial small subunit ribosomal RNA
Source: RNAcentral
UGGCGGACGGGUGAGUAAUGUCUGGGAAACUGCCUGGUGGAGGGGGAUAACUACUGGAAACGGUAGCUAAUACCGCAUAACGUCGCAAGACCAAAGAGGGGGACCUUCGGGCCUCUUGCCAUCGGAUGUGCCCAGAUGGGAUUAGCUAGUAGGUGGGGUAAAGGCUCACCUAGGCGACGAUCCCUAGCUGGUCUGAGAGGAUGACCAGCCACACUGGAACUGAGACACGGUCCAG